AAUGAUAGAGGUGCGUUUUUUAUUAGUAAGUAUGUAGAUGUAUUUAGGUACAAAAGAAAUAUACUAAAAGGAAAAAAUGCCGAAGAUUUAAAAUACCUAAAUAUUUUAAAUCUGGUUGUAGUGGUUAAUAGCCUUAUGACUGUCGUCUUUUUAUUGACGGAGAGCUAUCUG
Molecule: non-coding RNA, 171 nt
Filed under: chicken gut metagenome
Description: Lysine riboswitch
Rfam family: Lysine riboswitch aptamer
About the family: Riboswitches are metabolite binding domains within certain messenger RNAs that serve as precision sensors for their corresponding targets. Allosteric rearrangement of mRNA structure is mediated by ligand binding, and this results in modulation of gene expression.
Source: RNAcentral